Molecule: ribosomal RNA, 484 nt
Filed under: uncultured bacterium
Lineage: Bacteria
Description: partial 16S ribosomal RNA
Rfam family: Bacterial small subunit ribosomal RNA
Source: RNAcentral
AGUGAACGCUGGCGGCAGGCCUAACACAUGCAAGUCGAGCGGAUGAAGGGAGCUUGCUCCUGGAUUCAGCGGCGGACGGGUGAGUAAUGCCUAGGAAUCUGCCUGGUAGUGUGGGAUAACGUCCGGAAACGGGCGCUAAUACCGCAUACGUCCUGAGGGAGAAAGUGGGGGAUCUUCGGACCUCACGCUAUCAGAUGAGCCUAGGUCGGAUUAGCUAGUUGGUGGGGUAAAGGCCUACCAAGGCGACGAUCCGUAACUGGUCUGAGAGGAUGAUCAGUCACACUGGAACUGAGACACGGUCCAGACUCCUACGGGAGGCAGCAGUGGGGAAUAUUGGACAAUGGGCGAAAGCCUGAUCCAGCCAUGCCGCGUGUGUGAAGAAGGUCUUCGGAUUGUAAAGCACUUUAAGUUGGGAGGAAGGGCAGUAAGUUAAUACCUUGCUGUUUUGACGUUACCAACAGAAUAAGCACCGGCUAACUUCGUG